AUUGAACGCUGGCGGCAUGCCUUACACAUGCAAGUCGAACGGCAGCACGGGAGCAAUCCUGGUGGCGAGUGGCGAACGGGUGAGUAAUAUAUCGGAACGUGCCCAGUCGUGGGGGAUAACGUAGCGAAAGCUACGCUAAUACCGCAUACGAUCUAUGGAUGAAAGCGGGGGACUCGCAAGACCUCGCGCGAUUGGAGCGGCCGAUAUCAGAUUAGGUAGUUGGUGAGGUAAAGGCUCACCAAGCCGACGAUCUGUAGCUGGUCUGAGAGGACGACCAGCCACACUGGGACUGAGACACGGCCCAGACUCCUACGGGAGGCAGCAGUGGGGAAUAUUGGACAAUGGGCGAAAGCCUGAUCAGCAAUGCCGCGUGAGUGAUGAAGGCC
This 386-nucleotide ribosomal RNA is filed under the name uncultured bacterium. Its description in RNAcentral is "bacterial SSU rRNA". It matches the Rfam family "Bacterial small subunit ribosomal RNA", at positions 29 to 416 of the family's 1533-position model. The record is from RNAcentral.